Molecule: long non-coding RNA, 511 nt
Organism: Cannabis sativa
Lineage: Eukaryota; Viridiplantae; Streptophyta; Magnoliopsida; Rosales; Cannabaceae
Exons: 2
Source: RefSeq, a predicted model, not a curated record
CGCGGCGCGCCCAUUUCUUUCUGGGCAGACCCUUUUUGCAAACUUUAAAUGGCCAUAACUUUGUGAUCCGGACUCCGAUUUGGGAGUUCUAUAUACCGUUGGAAAGCUCUUUCCGAGCUCUAUUUGAAUAUCUGAAUUUUAAAUGCCAUGUGAAUAUUUUAUGAAAAUGAAAUCAGGGGUUAACCCUAUUUGUGAAAUCCCGAAUUGUGUGACUAGGAUUAUCGGCACCUGAUCAGGAGCACCCGGGAAUUUGGAAUCUCUAUCAUUGCAGGAGAUCAGGAAAGGGUAAGACAUUAGCUGAUCAACCAUGAGUUUCAGGAGCAGGGCGAGGAAUGUACAUGUUCAUGCCACUUCAGACCAAGCGGGUUAUGGGUCUAACAGUGUUGACUUUUGUAUUCUAUUUUGCCGCUUAGGUCGGCUAGAAAGAAAUGACUUGUAAUAAGUUUGUAAAUAUUUUUGGGAUCCCAACGGUUUUAAAGUUUAAAAGUAUUACAAGUUUUAUUUUCAUUCC